Molecule: ribosomal RNA, 253 nt
Filed under: uncultured bacterium
Lineage: Bacteria
Description: partial 16S ribosomal RNA
Rfam family: Bacterial small subunit ribosomal RNA
Source: RNAcentral
UACGUAGGGGGCAAGCGUUGUCCGGAUUUAUUGGGCGUAAAGAGCGUGUAGGCGGCCAGGUAGGUCAGCUGUGAAAACUCGAGGCUCAACCUCGAGACGUCGGUUGAAACCAUCUGGCUAGAGUCCGGAAGAGGAGAGUGGAAUUCCCGGUGUAGCGGUGAAAUGCGCAGAUAUCGGGAAGAACACCCGUGGCGAAGGCGGCUCUCUGGGACGGUACUGACGCUGAGACGCGAAAGCGUGGGGAGCAAACAGG